AACUAACGCUGGCGGCGUGCCUAACACAUGCAAGUCGUACGAGAAAGUUCGCUUCGGCGGAUGAGUAAAGUGGCGCACGGGUGAGUAACGCGUGGAUAAUCUGCCCUUGAGCCGGGAAUAACCCAUCGAAAGGUGGGCUAAUACCCGAUAACACUGCAUUGAUUUCGGUCGUGCAGUCAAAGAUAGCCUCUGUUUACAAGCUUUCACUCGAGGAUGAGUCCGCGUACCAUUAGCUAGUUGGCAGGGUAAUGGCCUACCAAGGCUGCGAUGGUUAGCUGGUCUGAGAGGAUGAUCAGCCACACUGGAACUGGAACACGGUCCAGACUCCUACGGGAGGCAGCAGUGAGGAAUCUUGCGCAAUGGGGGAAACCCUGACGCAGCAACGCCGCGUGAGUGAGGAAGGUCUUCGGAUCGUAAAGCUCUGUCAGAUGGGAAGAAAUGCAUGGGAGUGAAUAGCUUUCAUGCUUGACGGUACCGUCAGAGGAAGCACCGGCUAACUCCGUGCCAGCCGCCGCGGUAA
RNAcentral lists this ribosomal RNA (520 nucleotides) under uncultured bacterium. RNAcentral describes it as "partial 16S ribosomal RNA". It matches the Rfam family "Bacterial small subunit ribosomal RNA", at positions 29 to 523 of the family's 1533-position model. The record is from RNAcentral.